Molecule: non-coding RNA, 75 nt
Organism: Dallia pectoralis (Alaska blackfish)
Lineage: Eukaryota; Metazoa; Chordata; Actinopteri; Esociformes; Umbridae
Source: the annotation of a GenBank genome assembly
GGAGUUGGUAUCUCAGUGGUAGAGUACAUGCUUUGGGUGUGUGAUGACGUCCUGGGUUCAAUCCCCAGGUCGCCG